UGCCAGCCUCCGCGGUACUACUGAUUUUGCAAUCGUUGCUCGGAAUCACUGGGCGUAAAGCGGACGCAGGCGGAACGUUAAGUUGGAUGUGAAAGCCCCGGGCUCAACCUGGGAACUGCAUUCAAAACUGGCGUUCUUGAGUUCAAGAGAGGGUGGUGGAAUUCCUGGUGUAGAGGUGAAAUUCGUUGAUAUCAGGAGGAACACCGGCGGCGAAGGCGGCCACCUGACUUGAUACUGACGCUCAUGUCCGAAAGCGUGGGGAGCAAACAGGAUUAGAUA
This 279-nucleotide ribosomal RNA is filed under the name uncultured bacterium. Its description in RNAcentral is "partial 16S ribosomal RNA". It matches the Rfam family "Bacterial small subunit ribosomal RNA", at positions 506 to 784 of the family's 1533-position model. The record is from RNAcentral.